RNAcentral lists this ribosomal RNA (344 nucleotides) under uncultured bacterium. RNAcentral describes it as "bacterial SSU rRNA". It matches the Rfam family "Bacterial small subunit ribosomal RNA", at positions 30 to 372 of the family's 1533-position model. The record is from RNAcentral.
AUUGAACGCUGGCGGCAGGCCUAACACAUGCAAGUCGAGCGGAUGAGUGGAGCUUGCUCCAUGAUUCAGCGGCGGACGGGUGAGUAAUGCCUAGGAAUCUGCCUGGUAGUGGGGGGACAACGUUUCGAAAGGAACGCUAAUACCGCAUACGUCCUACGGGAGAAAGCAGGGGACCUUCGGGCCUUGCGUUAUCAGAUGAGCCUAGGUCGGAUUAGCUAGUAGGUGAGGUAAUGGCUCACCUAGGCGACGAUCCGUAACUGGUCUGAGAGGAUGAUCAGUCACACUGGAACUGAGACACGGUCCAGACUCCCUACGGGAGGCAGCAGUGGGGAAUAUGGACGAAU